Long non-coding RNA from Penaeus monodon (black tiger shrimp), 761 nucleotides. RefSeq lists it as uncharacterized. Lineage: Eukaryota; Metazoa; Arthropoda; Malacostraca; Decapoda; Penaeidae. The record is from RefSeq and is a predicted model, not a curated record. The transcript is spliced from 3 exons.
UGUGUGUCUGUGCAUUUUCGCUUCUGUUUAUAACGUUUUCAGUUUUAUAGGUCAGUUAUAUAUCGUUAAAAGAAAACGAAAUGUGUCGUAAUUAUUAUCAAGCAGAACACAGUGUAGUGAAUAUACCAGAUAGUUGUAAACGACGGUUUACAAGACAAGCAGACCAAGUGCAUAUUCAAAUGGCGGUGGAGCACCGGAACAAGGUAAAGCAGCUGUUUUUUAAAGUAUGACGUCACCGAUGGCAAACGCAGGAAUGACAACAUCUCCGAAUUACCUUCAGGGGUGAUAUAAAAGCAUAGGUCGAGGGCCACGAGGUCAGCCAACAACAAACCCGGUGAUAUCAGAUUUGUGACAGCUAUCCGAGGUACUUAAUGAAUCAACGAAUACCUAAAAUAGUGUGGGGGAAAUGCCUCUACAGCCCCUGCACUGACCACUGAAGAAAUGAUAAGAAAUAGCGACUUCACACAUCCAUUAGCGGGGAAAAUGUCCGAAUCUACUAUUCGUGAAUGCCAUCGACGUUUAUCCAAAGAACAUAAAUCCAAGAAGUGACAUUAUCCCAGGACAGCAGGCUUAGUUGCAGAUCUUCAGGUAUUUCAGAAUCUCUAGAGAAAUGAUAGCAAAACGUCGGGCCAUGGCGUGACGCCCUAGAGACCUGAGAGAAUGUCAUUACAAACAGUACAAAACAACAUUGCCUUUGUAAACACGCUGCUUCACAAGGUUUUACAAUUUAGGGGAGUUUUUUUUAUAUCCUACUUUUUCUG